UACAGAGGUCUCAAGCGUUGUUCGGAUUCAUUGGGCGUAAAGGGUGCGUAGGCGGCGCGGUAAGUCGGGUGUGAAAUCUUGGAGCUUAACUCCGAAACUGCAUUCGAUACUGCCGUGCUUGAGGACUGGAGAGGAGACUGGAAUUUACGGUGUAGCGGUGAAAUGCGCAGAUAUCGGGAAGAACACCCGUGGCGAAGGCGGUUCCCUGGGACGGUACUGACGCUGAGACGCGAAAGCGUGGGGAGCGAACAGG
Molecule: ribosomal RNA, 253 nt
Filed under: uncultured bacterium
Lineage: Bacteria
Description: partial 16S ribosomal RNA
Rfam family: Bacterial small subunit ribosomal RNA
Source: RNAcentral